UGACUCAUCUAAAUCAAGGGAUGCAGGU
Molecule: small RNA, 28 nt
Filed under: Bombyx mori (domestic silkworm)
Lineage: Eukaryota; Metazoa; Arthropoda; Insecta; Lepidoptera; Bombycidae
Description: ovarian small RNA-31909
Source: RNAcentral